UAGGGAAUAUUAGAAAUGGACGAAAGUCUGAUCUAGCGACACCGCGUGUGCGAUGAAGGCCUUCGGGUUGUAAAGCACUUUUUGGAAGGAAUAGGAAGGAAGGUACUUCCAGAAUAAGUCUCGGCUAACUACGUGCCAGCAGCCGCGGUAACACGUAGGAGGCAAACGUUAUCCGGAUUUACUGGGCGUAAAGCGCGUGUAGGUGGUUCUGUAAGUAGGGCGUGAAAGCUCCCGGCUCAACUGGGAGAGGCCGUUCUAAACUGCAGAGCUAGAGGAUGGUAGAGGGAGGUGGAAUUCCAGGUGUAGCGGUGGAAUGCGCAGAUAUCUGGAGGAACACCAGUGGCGAAAGCGGCCUCCUGGACCAUUCCUGACACUCGGACGCGAAAGCUAGGGUAGCAAACG
Molecule: ribosomal RNA, 402 nt
Filed under: uncultured bacterium
Lineage: Bacteria
Description: bacterial SSU rRNA
Rfam family: Bacterial small subunit ribosomal RNA
Source: RNAcentral